CGAACUCUGGUAUUGAUUGGUGCUUGCAUCAUGAUUUACAUUUGAGUGAGUGGCGAACUGGUGAGUAACACGUGGGAAACCUGCCCAGAAGCGGGGGAUAACACCUGGAAACAGAUGCUAAUACCGCAUAACAACUUGGACCGCAUGGUCCGAAGUUUGAAAGAUGGCUUCGGCUAUCACUUUUGGAUGGUCCCGCGGCGUAUUAGCUAGAUGGUGGGGUAACGGCUCACCAUGGCAAUGAUACGUUAGCCGACCUGAGAGGGUAAUCGGCCACAUUGGGACUGAGACACGGCCCAAACUCCUACGGGAGGCAGCAGUAGGGAAUCUUCCACAAUGGACCGAAAGUCUGAUGGAGCAACGCCGCGUGAGUGAAGAAGGGUUUCGGCUCGUAAAACUCUGUUGUUAAAGAAGAACAUAUCUGAGAGUAACUGUUCAGGUAUUGACGGUAUUUAACCAGAAAGCCACGGCUAACUACGUGCCAGCAGCCGCGGUAAUACGUAGGUGGCAAGCGUUGUCCGGAAUUUAUUGGGCGUAAAGCGAGCGCAGGCGGUUUUUUAAGUCUGAUGUGAAAGCCUUCGGCUCAACCGAAGAAAGUGCAUCGGAAACUGGGGAAACUUGAGUGCAGAAGAGGACAGUGGAAACUCCAUGUGUAGCGGUGAAAUGCGUAGAUAUAUGGAAAGAACACCAGUGGCCGA
Molecule: ribosomal RNA, 695 nt
Filed under: Lactiplantibacillus plantarum
Lineage: Bacteria; Bacillati; Bacillota; Bacilli; Lactobacillales; Lactobacillaceae
Description: bacterial SSU rRNA
Rfam family: Bacterial small subunit ribosomal RNA
Source: RNAcentral